UCACCAAUAUUUUUGCCCCUUGUGUGGCAAUAAUAUGAUUUAGUCACUAUGGCUGUGUACACGCUACUAACUUUAAAAGCAGCUAGGUAGUAAUUUUUUCCAAUUUGGAUCAAAACUGGUUUGGGGGGAAAUGCAUCAAAAUGGCAUGUCAAAUGGCAGUACAGAUGUGGACAGUGGAAAACGUCGUGUUUACCAUUGGAGCGCAUUGGACCCAGAGUAAAUGGAAGUGUGUAUUCAGUCUCUGUAAAUGAGAUUCAGCCUAAGCCCAACGAUUUGCAUGCUAUUGGAGUCUGCAAAUUAAACAGAAACAUGCUAUUGGCAGCAUUCAUUAUGACUGCCGUAUCUGUGGCAAAGGUUCCCCCAAACAGAGCCCCUUACCUGCAUCUUUUUCUUUCCCUUAUAGAAUCUCAAUAUUUAUUUUUAAAUUGUUGACUUUGAAUUUUCAGCAAAUUCUUUUAGAUCUAGUCUUGUCCGCUUGGUAAAGUCCAGCCCAAACCCACCUCAUUCCCCGCACCAAGUAAAAUGUUAAGAUGUAAUACAGGGGCAUUCUUCAACAUGCAGACAUGUGCCAGGAGACUACUGAAAACUAAACUCUUGGUGACAGGUGGAAUUAAAAGAUUCCACUUGUUCUCCAGAGAAAUGAAGCUGAAGGAUUAUUACUAAUGGAAGAGUCUUGCAGCUAGAGAUAAAGCUGUUUAAGUGCUAUCUCCACCUUCUUUGGGUGCUUCAUGGCACAUCUAAGCCCUAGUCAGGCAUUCCCCUGGCCGCGUGUGGGCUAAACAUGUAAGCUCUACCCACAAUGUCCCUGGUGCACCCUGGAUCCACUUCCGAUCUUCUUGCACUCCCACAUCAAAUGCAUUGGUAAGCCUAUGUCAGGGCCUCAGAUGUUUGCAGAACUGCAAGUCUUGGAUGUUAAGUUUUUAUUGGUUCAAUCAGAUGUUCAGACCCACCAUAGGCACUUAACUGAGUGCUCAAUUCCAUUGUUUUUUGUUUGUUUGUUUUGCAUACGGCAUUCUAACCCAUGGCUUUGGACAUGCGGGGAAAUGCAAUGCCAGUCCCAUUAAAAACGUGCCUUUGUUCAAGCACCUCUUUCACAAUAUCCUGCACCUGGAGUAUGCUGUGCCCUUGGUACAGACCACCCUUUGUCCCAAGUUCACUUCAGGAGAGCUUGGAAUUUGGGUAUUGAAGCAGCUCAACAACAGAGGCCUGGGGUCUUUCCUCACUGAAAGCAGCAACAACAUGUAGUGAGUUCUGCAUGUUGUAGUUCUAGUACAAAGAUGAGGAACCUGUGGCCCUCCAGGUAUUGAUUUAUUCCAGCUCCCAUCAGCUCCAACCACAUUGGCUAUCCUUGUUACAAAAAACAGGCGAUGGGAAAUGGAUUGAUUAAAUUCAGAAGUAGCCCUUAUUUAGGAACAUAGCAAGCUGGCUUAUACAGAGUCGGACCAUUGGCAGCGGCUCUCCAGAGUUCAGUCAGGGAGUGUCCCCUAGUUCUCUUUGGAGAUGCAAGGGACUGAGCCUUGGACCUUCUGAAUUAUUAUUAUUGUUGUUGUUGUUUCCUUAUUUAUAUGCCAUCCAUCUGACUGGGUUACUCCAGCCACUCUGGGCAGCUCCCAACAAAAUAUUAAAAACACAGUAAAAUGUCAGCCAUUAGAAACUUCCCUGAACAGGGCUGCCUUCAGAUGUCUUCUAAAAGUCAAAUAGUUGUUUAUCUGUUUGACAUCUGAUGGGAGGGUUUUGCAAAGGUUGGGAGCCACUACCGAGAAGGCCCUCUGCCUGGCUCCCUGUAGCUUCACAUCUCGCAGUGAGGGAACGCGGUGAGGCAUAAGAAACAUUUCAAAUCCUUUGGUUUGAGUUUAGCGUCCAUCAGAGACAAGCAGGAAGUAUCAAUAUGCAACAUGCAGUGUUUAUAAAUUGCUGUAGUUGUUUAAGAAGCUGUGCUGCGGAACUAUGCGGUCACCCUGUACAAAGAAAGCACCAAACAAAAAGAACAAACAGAAAACACUACUGACACCCCAAAAUAAGACAAUAUUCAGGUGACUUCCUUCUGUGGUUUGGCACUUUAGUUGCGAAUGCAAUUUGUACAGAUCUUUAAUGCUUAUCAAAUGCAGCAUCUUUGCACAUAAGAAGGGAGACUACAAUGUGUGCUUGCUAUGGUUUCAAAAUAUACCGUGUACCAAACAAUCCCCAGACAUCUGAAGUUUAAGCAUCUAUUCACAGCCCUGUAGGUUUCAGCAGAAAGAUUAAAAGCACACACUGCAUGGUAAAUGAUUCAGAGAGGAGAAACAAGGGGAGACAUUCAAACGUCAGCAAACCAGAAAAUGUUCUGCAUGUAGAAACAGAUAUAGAUAUGUAUGGCUUGUAACGGGAUGCUGCACCAUGGCAAAAAAAAAAGCUCCAAGCAACAGCUGGAACUGGGGUUUCAAAGGGACAAAAUCGGAGGGGCUUAGAACACAAGAGGAGCCCCACGGAAUGAGACCAAAGGCUGAUCUAGUCCAGCAUAAGGUUCUCAGACCUCCUAACUCACAUGGUGGACUGUGAGAACUAAAAGCUUGGUAGCCUUCCUCCCAAGGUGACAGGAAGGGACUUACCGAAGCCUGGAAGAACAGCUUAGUCUAGGGCAGUGUUUUUCAAACUUGUGCCCCCAGCAGUUGUUGGACUACAACUCCCAUCAUCCCUAACCUAGCUAGGGAUGAUGGGAGUUGCAGUCCAACAACAGCUGGGGGUCACAAGUUUGAGAAGCACUGCUCUAUGGUCUUAACCUCUUCAUGCAUUAAUUGGACUUAAACAUACUGGUUAUAUCAGGCUGGUUUAUAUAUCAGGCAGAUAUUUAUAUUGCUCAGCAUGAAGCAAAUGGAUGCAUAAAAGCUGACUCCUUUUGUAAUAAAAAUUGUCCAGACCCAUAAUUAUGAUUCAAAGCUUUACUAACCAGAACUUUUUCAAAACAGGUACAAUACAAUCAAUGAUGUAUCCAGAAGGUUGUAUAAAGCAUGCAUAUUCAAGCAUUGGUUCUUCUUCUUAAAUCUAUAACUUAAUUAUGACUAGAAUAAAACUCAAAUCUAUCUCUCUCCCAUAGCUUGGAUUAGCCUGCAUCCAGCCUAAGGCUAUGCAGCUCCUGGAGAGCCAUCAUUAUCACACCCUUUCUCUGACUGUGCCUGGGAACGAAAGGGAAAAGCCAACUCCCUUCAGAAUGGUGGAUUUUCAGUUGAAUACCUUAAUCACAUGAUCUAAGGUUAAACACUCGUGUGAAGGUUAGCAGAAAACACCAGCCUUUAAUUGUCAACUCAGCUAGAAGCUCUUUCUAGCUUCAUCUACUUAAAUGGAGUUUUCCAGUGUUAAACCCUUAGUAAAAUACAUACAGGCAUUCUCCAUUUCAAUGUGAAUUCAACCAUUAUACGUACCAUGGUUAUUCCGCUCCGCCCACCACCCCAAUACACAGCUGCUUUCUUUGCAUGAUCCAGGAAACAAACCAUGAUCCAUGGUUGACUUUGGCUCCCCACUAUGAUCUCUAUGGUUAAAGGCUUCCAAACAAGCCAGAUUUGGGAUCCAGCUUUAAAACAUGGUAUAAAGAUUUUCCAUGCUUUUCUGACCCAUAGCUCCACUGGGGAAAUACGUAGCUGUUUUAGUGCAUAUACACAUACACAAAUCACAGUAAGAGCUCUGUUACCCGUCACUUCUGAGUUUCCAGCCAAGAGAAAGCCCGGGCCAGAUGAAGAUAAACCAGGGGGAAAGUAAAUAUAGCUGUGAUUAAAAUGUAGGUCACUCCAUUUCAGGCAACAAUGUGCAAGCGUUCCUGCAGGAUCUUGUGUCAUAGAAUAAUUGAGUGCAGCUUUUGAGUGGACAGUUUCUGUUGGCUGAGAUUCCGAAGUGAGAAGGAACUGAGAACUUAGCGCAAUCCAUCUCUGCGUGUCCCAUAUACAGCCUUGGCCUAAAAGGCAAUGAUGAAACAUCCCACCGGGCAGGGGUUGGAAAGCAGAAAUUUUUCCAUAACUCUUGUGAUCCCAGCAUAAAGCAACUGCAGGGCAUCAAGGGACAGUAAGCAAGAGGCAAGAAGAAAUAUAAAGAAGGGGAAGCAUUCAGAAGAGGAUCUGGCAAACUCUGUGCCCUUUAAUUUAGAGGACAAACACACAGCGAUGCAUUUGAAACAAAAUGGAUAUGCAGAAAGAAAAUACUAGAAACUAGCUUGAUAAUUCUGGAACAGGAGGAUGAAAUUAGGACACCUUAGACCAUUCACUUACAAUGCAUGAAGUUGCCAGCCUCUGAACCUCUCAUGGAAGGGGCACACCAAGAAGGGCCUCAGAUCAUGAUUGCAGGGUCUGGGUUGGUUCAUAUGGGGAGAGGCAGUCCUUGAGAUAUUGCAGUCCUGAGCCAUUUAAGGUUUAUAGAUCAAAAUCAACACUUUGAAUUGGACCUGUAAACUAGCAGGCAGCCAGUGCAGUCAGGCCAAGAUUGGUGUUGUAUGUUCGAACGAUCUUGCCCCAGUGAGCAACCUGGUCCCCAAAUUCUGCACCAGCUGAAGUCUCCAAACCAUCUUCAGAGGCAGCCCCAUGUAUAACAAUUGCAGUAAUCUCACAUAGAGAUUGCCAGCGCAUAGACAAAAGUUAGGCUAACGCUGUCCAGAAAGAGCUACAGCUGGGCCACCAGCCAAAGCUGAUGGAAGGCACUUGGCGCCACCAAGGCUAUCUGAGCCUUAAGAAACAGCAAUGAAUCAAGAAGUCUUCUUCUUCUUUGGCAAUCACUUGUAGCCGAGUAAGAUUGUCUUCCAUGAACACGGUCCUAACGGUGAGUCCAUAAGUGACUGUGGAGGCCAAUUCAAGUUGUGUACGCACUCCUUCAGAGGAAUUGUAGCCGCAACAAGAGCAGGCCACCUCCCACCCAUUUGGUCUAGGAAACCACCCAACAACAGUGCCUCGGUUUUAUAUGGAUUAGAAUCAUAGAAUUGUAGAGUUGGAAGGGACCCUGAGGAACAUCUAGUCCAACCUGCAUUGCAGGAAUAUGCAUCUGUCCCAUAUGGGGAUCAAACCUGCAUCCUUGGUGUUAUCAACACCAAGCUCUAACCAACUGAGCUAUCCGCUUGAAUUGAGCUUUAGUUUGUUCCAUUCCAUUACCAAGGUGAGACAAUAUAAUUAUUAAUUAACCAUGUCUGAAAUGUGAACUUCUGGUGACAUGCUGAAAGAGAAGGCUGGUGUCCAGAUUAUUUUUCUGUGGCUAAGUGGCCUUCUGAAUGCUCCAGCCCAUGUCAAGAUCAAUGUUCCCCGUGUGCCCCCAAAUCCCUUUGAAAAAUGGGCUAAAUCAGUGCCAUCCCUAGUAUUAGGCAGCAGAGUCCGAGAUAUUGUUAAUGGGCAGCAAACUGCAACCUAUAUAUAUAGUUUAUGUGUCUCACUGACCAAAAUAUCUUGGGCACCCCGGGGGUAAAUCAUGAACACACUCCAAAUCAUUCCCAAACUUGAUUGCUACACCAAAAUCUCCAAAAUGUGGCCUCAUGUUGACUUCACCAUUCAAUUCAAUUCACCACACUACCCUGGACUUAGACAAUGUUUGCUUCAGGUUCCUGCAUAUGAGCAAAGCUGAAAACAAGCUGGCUUGUGCAUGCCGACAUCUUGCGCAAGCCCCUUUCAAUUGCCAAGACUCCAUCAUCAAGGGAUGGAAGUGUUCCUAAAGUUUCUCAUGUCAAGCCAGGUGCAUAUAGUGAUGAAACAUUCUCCCAAAGACAGCUUGACCUCGACAGCCCACAGGUGCAGGCUUCCUUUCAGUUAUCAAUCAAGAUCUGGAGCAGCAAAGCUGGCUUCGUAUCAUCUUCCCAACAAAGCAGAGGGUGUUCGGUGGGAGGGUGGUGACUGCUUCUCUCAGGGACGUCCACUACUGGCCAACUCAAAGUCUGAAAGUAUCAGCACAGCAAAGAGAGACACAUGUCAACCAACACUGAAGUCCAUCUCUCUCUCUCUCUCUCUCUCUCUCUCUCUCUCUCUCUCGUCUCUCUCUUCAUGCUGUUGCAAUUGUUGGGACUAUUCUUUGGAUGUGACAGGAUAUGUCGAGGAAGCACUUCUUAAAAGGGCAUUGUCAUUUCAAAGGUUAGCCCCUCAAAAAAUUCUUGUAAUUGAUAGUUUCUGUGCAUAACUUUGAAAAAGCAAUUCUUUUAAUUUUAUGGCUUACUUCUUGUAAGCUGCCUUGAGAACAGGAAGGGUGGCGUGUCAAAUAAACAUAAAAAUAAAUGCACCUCUAAGUCCUGAUUGCAGUUUCUCAAAAAUUUUAGUACGGCGGUUUUAUGUCUGUCUCAAAUUUCAAAUUAGAUCGGGGUCACCAACCUUUCUGGGUCCACGACAAACUAGAGAAACUGCAGUGGGCACCACACACCAGUGGUGUAGCGUGGGUUGCCAGUGCCUGGGGUUGCGCGGAGGGGAGGAAGGGAAACAGAUGGAGUACGCAUGCGCAUUCAACUGCCCAAUGGCAUUUGCAUCACCCAAGAGGUCACAGUCACAGAGAUAAGAAAAGAGUCGUUUAAUUGUCUGGAGAGGUCACUUCCUGGUUCGCAUGGAAAAGCCAUUUUCAAUGGAGUUCACAGCUGUAUUGAGGCAGCACUGGGUGUUGAAAUUUUGUUCUCCCUAACAAUUUUGCAACUGGGGCAGCCGCCUCUGUGUCCCCAUGUUGCGCCACUGCCAUACACACACCCCACCACAAUGUAUACAGUGCAGCCAUGCACAUCUGCAUGCACACUUAGCCACACACUCAUUUCGGAAGGAUUAACCUUCCCUUCCCUAGUUGUGAUCCUCAAAAACAUGCCCCAUUGCCACAACUAGGCUUUCUAGCCAAAUUUUGGCAGACAGGAGGAGGGGAUCAGGGCUCUGUGGGCACCAGGAAAAACAUCAACGGGCACAUGUGUGCAUGUAGGUCUUGUGUUCAGGACCCAUGAAUAAGACAGAUGGAAAGACAGAUAUAUAAGAUACUAGCCUCAAUGUGCCAUCUUACCCUAUGGAAGGCUAUAUUUCAUUUUCUUUUCUAUGCUUUUACUGGCGCUCAGAGUAGCCGCACAGAAUCCUGCAAAAGAAAACAUACAUACCCCAAUUCAGUGGCACAGGUCCACGUACAUGAAGAGACUUACAGGGGCAUAUCACCAUUUAAGUCAAGAAUUUCCAUCAUAAAUCAGAUAUAAAUUCAAAUAAAUAAAUGUCUGAGUGGGGGGAGAAGUCUAUCCACACUGUAUUGCUUUAUUUUUAUUUUUUUAAAUAUUUAUUCAAAUUUUAAGAUUACAG
This is a non-coding RNA of Podarcis lilfordi (Lilford's wall lizard), 7247 nucleotides long. The record is from the annotation of a GenBank genome assembly. Lineage: Eukaryota; Metazoa; Chordata; Lepidosauria; Squamata; Lacertidae.